GGAUGUGAGGGUGAUCUGGCUGAGACAUCUGUCACCCCAUUGAUUGCCAGGAUUUAUUUGGCUGAUCUGGCUAGCUAGGCAGGUGUCCCCUUCCUCCCUCACUGCUCCAUGUGUGUCCCUCCCAAAGCUACGCGCUCGGUGGAAGAAGACAGCCUUCCCCAAUAAAGAUAGACCAGUCUUUGGUCGAGGGUAUACAAGUAGCUGUGCUCCCCUGCUAGAACCUCCAAACAAGCUCUCAAGGUCCAACUAUGACACCAUCUCCCCAGACAAUACCUUUGGUCCACCUGCAAGUUAGCUGUCAGGAUCAGG
RNAcentral lists this small nuclear RNA (309 nucleotides) under Erinaceus europaeus (western European hedgehog). Its description in RNAcentral is "7SK RNA". It matches the Rfam family "7SK RNA", at positions 1 to 259 of the family's 331-position model. From Rfam's summary of the family: 7SK was discovered as an abundant small nuclear RNA in the mid-70s but a possible function has only recently been suggested. Two independent studies have found that 7SK RNA binds the CDK9/cyclin T complex (known as elongation factor P-TEFb). The record is from Rfam by way of RNAcentral. Lineage: Eukaryota; Metazoa; Chordata; Mammalia; Eulipotyphla; Erinaceidae.